UUCCUUGUCGUGUAGUUAAUUAAUAAAUGACACGAUACGGAAACGGACAUGUGAUAAAUACGUAUUCGCUGUUAUACUCGAUAAUUAACGGCUCUACAUUUCUUAUUCGAAACAGCUCAAAACUAUUGGUUUUAAACUUGUUUUUCUUCAUUCAUUGAAAUAGGAAUAUAAUGAAUCACUAUUAUAAAUAUACAAUAUAAUAAAAAAGAGAAAUAUUGGAUUAAAAACGGCAAAUUAUUGUUAUAAUCGUCUUCCCUAUUCAAAUUAAAAACUUUUCAACAAUUAAAUAAAUAAAAAGUUUUUUGACACGUU
This 312-nucleotide long non-coding RNA is filed under the name Mytilus galloprovincialis (Mediterranean mussel). The record is from RNAcentral. Lineage: Eukaryota; Metazoa; Mollusca; Bivalvia; Mytilida; Mytilidae.